This 253-nucleotide ribosomal RNA is filed under the name uncultured bacterium. Its description in RNAcentral is "partial 16S ribosomal RNA". It matches the Rfam family "Bacterial small subunit ribosomal RNA", at positions 524 to 776 of the family's 1533-position model. The record is from RNAcentral.
UACGGAGGGUGCUAGCGUUGUUCGGAAUUACUGGGCGUAAAGCGCGCGUAGGCGGCUUUGUAAGUUAGAGGUGAAAGCCCGGGGCUCAACCCCGGAACAGCCUUUAAGACUGCAUCGCUAGAAUCCGGGAGAGGCGAGUGGAAUUCCGAGUGUAGAGGUGAAAUUCGUAGAUAUUCGGAAGAACACCAGUGGCGAAGGCGGCUCACUGGACCGGCAUUGACGCUGAGGUGCGAAAGCGUGGGGAGCAAACAGG